GAACAGACAUUGAUGAGGAAAAGUAAUUUAUUACUGGGAAUUAGCGAGUUUUGUUAGGUGAAAGGAAACAUCUCGGUAAUAAACGAAAAUCACCUUGGAGUUAUGACACGAAGAUUUCAGUAACCGUCAUUGGGCGCAACCAUUAUCUUGCUAACGUAUCGAAUAAUGGUUUUUAUUCCGUACGCGAUGAGAUAUGUUGCGCGAGCAGCAUAUGAAUUUUGGGUGGUAACACGAUUAAUCGUCCCGCAA
Regulatory RNA element from Oenococcus oeni, 249 nucleotides. It matches the Rfam family "T-box leader". Rfam says of the family: Uncharged tRNA acts as the effector for transcription antitermination of genes in the T-box leader family. T-boxes are found upstream of many aminoacyl-tRNA synthetase genes and some amino acid biosynthetic genes usually in Gram-positive bacteria. NCBI's taxonomy places the organism in Bacteria, Bacillati, Bacillota, Bacilli, Lactobacillales, Lactobacillaceae. The record is from Rfam.